AUCUUUCUAGUAUUAAAUCGUAUGAGUGACUUCCAAUCACCCGGUCUUGGUUACAGCCCAGGGAAAGAUA
RNAcentral lists this transfer RNA (70 nucleotides) under Glossogobius aureus (golden tank goby). RNAcentral describes it as "tRNA-Gly". Lineage: Eukaryota; Metazoa; Chordata; Actinopteri; Gobiiformes; Gobiidae. The record is from RNAcentral.